GAUGACAUCACGAUUCUCACUAUCAUCCAGGAGCCGGUGAAAUUCAAAACGAUGUCAUUACAGUGAACAACUGCUACCAGGAAAAAAAGCUGUUGAAUUUGGUGUUGCAUUCACCAUUGGCUGCAUUUUGAAAAAGAGCCAGUGAGUAGAGGCAGAAUCGACAUCUUGGGCACUGCUGGCGAAUAUCAGUCCCUGCUCUUCUGUUUCAGUUGGCUGAGAGUUCAUGAAAACUCACACCGAGUCCCUUGGAACUCCAAGCAAGGUAAAUCUGUGACAGAAAAGAGGAGGAAUAGUUUCCUCUCAUAUGUCCUGGUCCCCCGAAAUCUGCUAAAUCCGUUUGAAUACUGGAACAAUGAAUUCGAGUCAGAAGCUUUAACAUCUAAGCAGAAGUCUUGAAUAAUGAGAAGAAGCAGAGGGGAACACAUUCCAGGCAAAGGAAACAGUUAGGGCAAAGGCCCUGGGGCUGGAACCAGGAAAGGAAAGCAGGAAGCAAACACUGCAGUCAGCCACAACCGGACUCUGAGAAGCACAUCUGAAGUAAUCCAUGCUCACAGAGGAGCCAGGACCAGACUGACAAACCAUGAGAAACAGAGCACAACAGUAUUCUCUAACUUCUCCGCACUUCAGGAUCAAGAUCAAAGAUUAUCCCAGAAGCUAGAGUCCUUGUCAAAAACUACCCUUCACCUAGAAAGGACAAACAGCAUGAACUCUAAAACAGUAUUCACAACGGUCCUCUAACCAUAACCAGUGUGACUCUUAAGAACCUGGAAGUAGCUCUCAGGUGUUUGCCCUGCUAACGUCUAUGCUUCAGUUCCAAAUGGCAAGGAGCACCCCUGUCCCACCUGCGAUAAAUCUCCAAGCCAGAUAAGGAAAACACAAUUCAAGUAAUAUGAACACAAGCCGUGCGCCUAGUUUGGGCAGAUCUCCCACUACACUACUCUAUUCCCCAGCUAUGAGGCCCCUUAGAACUUGCGGCUUCUCCAGGCCGUGUGCUUCCACUGGUGAAGGAGGAGAGGAAGGAGGGAGCAGACUGAAGCGGAGGUGGAAGGAAAAUGGAGCAUAUACCUGGCCUGGAUAUGUAGCUGAAGACUGCCUUGAGCUACUGGCUUUCCCGCCUCCAAUUCCCGAGUUCCAGGACUAUAGACAUGUGCCACCAUAGCUGUUUUGUGCAGUGCUGGGAAUCGAAGUCGGGACUGCAUGUCAAGCCAACAUUCUACCUACUGAGCUAAGUCCGCAGCUCUUCACACACUUGUUUGAGAACCCCUAGGUAUAGUAUUUAAGUGCUCUCUAGAUCUCUGGCAAGCAUAACUAGCUAAAAUAAGAUUGCUCAUGGUAGGCAAUGGUAAACCAUUUGAUUGGUAUAGCGUCUUGUUCUUCAGCUAUAACUAAGAGGUAAGAUCUACUACCUACUAGGGUGAAAAUAAUUUGCCACAACCCACGUAUUUCCAUUUCCAACAGAAGGGAGCACACUGUCUGGAGAGUGGCACAGCCGACCUCCUGAUACUGGGGCUUUUGAGAGCUGUGAGUCUGUAAAGACAUACUCUUGGCAUAACCCUACUAGGUAAAAGAUUAUUGUGAAGACUUAGGAAUACACUAAAAACAAUGCCAUUACAUCAUCGAAUCAAGGACACUCUUUGGCACACUUACUAUUAUAUACUCCCAACGUUUAAUGACAAACUCCAGCUAGUGAACACUGUAACACUUGGAAAUUGUUUUGCAGAAUGUGCUAAAGUGUAUGAAAUUGCCAUACAUGGUAGUACAGAUUUUAAUUAAAAAUUUUUUCCCUUCAACUUCAGGCUAUCUGUAAAGUUUUAUAUCAAGAUAAUUUUAUUCCAAGUUACUAGAUUUCAGAUGCUUGCUGAUAUUAAGGAAAGACCACGCAAGGGCUUCAGAGAUGGCUCAGUGGUUAGGAACAGGUAUCAUUCUUGGAAAGAAUCCAAAUUCAGUUGCUAGCACCCAUGUCAGGGUCAGAGCUGCCUGUAACUGCAGCUCCAGCAGUAUCCAGCACCUAUGGUAUCUACAAAUAUUUUUAAAAAGAGAAAGACUAAGUUUUUAGAGUGGAAUUGUUGGAGCUGUUAGAUCUGAACUCUCCCUCCAAGCCCACCGGUCAGUGUUUAUGACUAUGUUAAAUUGGAAUUUUAAAAAUCCAGAGCAAUAGGUUAAGUAAACAGUCAUUGCCUCAGAUUAACAAAUGUUAAACCACCAUCAGUGUGUGAAAUACUAAUUGGAGGCCCUGUUCAUCUCAUUCUGGUCUGCAGAACUGAAUUUGCACAGUAUUGAAGUUGCAGAUUCUCUUCUGCAAACCCCCUCCACACUCCACACCCCUGGCACCCCAUGGCACUGUGGUCUAUGGCAUCUGAAUAUUUAGUGAAUCCCAGCCUGCUGGUCUAUUGCCCCGGAGUGAACUUUCAUAAGGUAGUUUGAGUGACCCUCCCCCCAACCCCCCCCCCCAAAAAAUCUCAGCGUCUGGUCCUCACAUUCCUCUGUGGAAUAGUCACUUCGAAGAGAAAGAGGUGUGGCUUUGUGGUCUGGGAACACUCAGCCAGGAACAUGGGUUCUCUUAUUGGAGUUAGUUUUGUUUGUUUAGUUUACUAGAUCACUCUAACAACUUUUUGUCAGGACUCGGUUUACUCAGUUUAGAAAACAGGUUAUUAAAAUCUAGUUUACUAAAUAGUGAGUACUAAUGAACACAUUAAAUGUUUGUGAUAGAAAAAGAUGGGAGCACAACUGAGUUAUUUUUAUACACUGGUUUCUAAAGAGGAAAAAAAAAAGAACAGUUUUGUCCUUUGGAAAAAUAGCCUGCCCCCAAUUUCAGCUUCAUUGUUACAAUGCUUUUGCUUUUCUAUUUUCAAUGUUAAUUUUUUAAGUUAACAUGCUAAGUGUUUUACACAAUGUACAUAAAUUCGCUAUCAGUUGCAUUUAAAGGUAAAGAGGUAAUCUCUUUGUUCUUUCUCUAUGACACAAGGAAAUCCUUCCUGGGGUUCUGUGGGUUGAGAACCGGAGGCACAAUUAACCUUACUGUCUUAGGGAGCACACUGGCAUGAGAGCUUUCUAGAGUCAAUGUAAAGUAGAAACAGGGGUGCCUGUUUUAAAAUGAUGAAGGCUUCCUAGAAUAAGAUUCAGCUUCCAGAAUAGAAAAUUGUGCCAAUGUGCUCAAACAAAAUAGAAUGCGGGCAGAGACCAAAUGAUCACCACUGAUGUUCUAUGUCUGAAAUGAGAAAGAAUAAAAAUUAUCUGCAAGUGUAAAGGCCCCAUUGUUGGUGACUAAGCCAGGCAGUAUUCCCUAUUCAAAUUCAAGUUUCCUGCAAUUAAUCAACCACUUAUGGGGUUAAAAAGAAAUCUUUCAAAAUGUAUCAUGAUUCUUUACAUUACAAUGUCAUUACAAUUUUCAAUCUCUUCCUUCUCUUCUUAAAAGUGAGAACAAGACACCUGAUCUUCAACCCUGUGUCUGGGAUCUCAAAUUUGGCUCUGAAUAUGUGUUUCCAAGCUCAUUAAUUACAAUAUUGGUCCCAAGAGGUACGGGUGCAAAGAACACUCUUUGUACUCAAAAUAAUCUGAACAAGGCCGAAGAAGCAUUUUAUUUACAUGUGUAAACAUGAAGAGAGAAGCAGUACAGGAGGCUCAGGUAGCUGCUGAGAGUUCGAAUGAUAACUGAUUUGGUUACUUAGCGUCAAGGUCACCAUGGAUAGGCACACGUUCAUAUAAAAGUCACUUCAUUUUGUGGAUGCUCUCACCCCUGCAGCGGUGACUCAGGCAUUAAUUUGGCAAGUUCUGAACUAAGACCUUUUAACAUUUUAUUCUUUCCAGAAUAAAGACCAAAUUGUUCUGAAUCCUA
This is a long non-coding RNA of Apodemus sylvaticus (European woodmouse), 3835 nucleotides long. RefSeq lists it as uncharacterized. Lineage: Eukaryota; Metazoa; Chordata; Mammalia; Rodentia; Muridae. The transcript has 5 exons. The record is from RefSeq and is a predicted model, not a curated record.